This 220-nucleotide long non-coding RNA is filed under the name Capsella rubella. Its description in RNAcentral is "long non-coding RNA (CRUB_LNC000081)". The record is from RNAcentral. Lineage: Eukaryota; Viridiplantae; Streptophyta; Magnoliopsida; Brassicales; Brassicaceae.
GACUGUCUCAGAGGAGAAGAAGAAACAUUAUGCUCUCUAUACUCAUAAGCGGAAUGACGUGAUGGAGAAGGAGUUCUGUAGCGUGCGGGGACAUCACUCGUUGACAAACGACGCUGCACUGGUCUAGCAUCCUGCGGAGUAGUGUCUGCAAAAGCUGUGGUGGUGGAGGCGCAGCUAAACUUACUCAUGAAGCUCUUCAUCUUCGACUUCAUAGAUUUUA